UGCUACGGCCAUGCCACCCUGACUGUGCCCGACCCGUCUGAUCUCAGAAGCUGAGCGGGGUUGGGCUUGGUUAGUACUUGGAUGGGAGGCCACCUAGGAAGACCAGGUGCUGUAGGUG
RNAcentral lists this ribosomal RNA (118 nucleotides) under Pteropus alecto (black flying fox). Lineage: Eukaryota; Metazoa; Chordata; Mammalia; Chiroptera; Pteropodidae. The record is from RNAcentral.